This 1454-nucleotide ribosomal RNA is filed under the name uncultured Bordetella sp. Its description in RNAcentral is "partial 16S-23S ribosomal RNA intergenic spacer". It matches the Rfam family "Bacterial small subunit ribosomal RNA". Lineage: Bacteria; Pseudomonadati; Pseudomonadota; Betaproteobacteria; Burkholderiales; Alcaligenaceae. The record is from RNAcentral.
GGUUUGAUUCUGGCUCAGAUUGAACGCUGGCGGGAUGCUUUACACAUGCAAGUCGAACGGCAGCACGGACUGGUCUGGUGGCGAGUGGCGAACGGGUGAGUAAUGUAUCGGAACGUGCCUAGCGGGGGAUACGCGAAAGCGUAGCUAAUACCGCAUACGCUCUUCGGGGAAAGCGGGGGAUCUUCGCCUCGCACUAUUAGAGCGGCCGAUAUCGGAUUAGCUAGUUGGUGGGGUAACGGCUCACCAAGGCGACGAUCCGUAGCUGGUUUGAGAGGACGACCAGUCACACUGACUGAGACACGGCCCAGACUCCUACGGGAGGCAGGCAGUGGGGAAUUUUGGACAAUGGGGAAACCCUGAUCCAGCCAUCCUUGGCGUGUGCGAUGAAGGCCUUCGGGUUGUAAAAGCACUUUUGGCAGGAAAGAAAACGGCACGGGAUAAUACCCCGUGCAACUGACGGUACCUGCAGAAUAAGCACCGGCUAACUACGUGCCAGCAGCCGCGGUAAUACGUAGGGGUGUUAAUCGGAAUUACUGGGCGUAAAAGCGUGCGCAGGCGGGUUCGAAGAAAGAUGGAACCUGUGAGCUUAACUUUGGAACUGCAUUUUUAACUACCGAGCUAGAGUGUGUCAGAGGGAGGCGGAAUUCCGCGUGUAGCAGUGGGAAUGCGUAGAUAUGCGGAGGAACACCGAUGGCGAAGGCAGCCUCCGGGAUAACACUGACGCUCAUGCACGAAAGCGGAGCAAACAGGAUUAGAUACCCUGGUAACCACGCCCUAAACGAUGUCAACUAGCUGCUGGGGCCUUCGGCCCGGUAGCGCAGCUAACGCGUGCUGACCGCCUGGGGAGUACGGUCGUGAUUAAAACUCAAAGGAAUUGACGGGGACCCGCACAAGCGGUGGAUGAUGUGAUUAAUCUGAUGCAACGCGAAAAACCUUACCUACCCUUGACAUGUCUGGAAUCCCGAAGAGAUUUGGGGAGUGCUCGCAAGAGAACCGGGAACACAGGUGCUGCAUGGCUGUCGUCAGCUCGUGUCGUGAGAUGCCGGGUUGUCCCGCAACGAGCGCAACCCUUGUCAUUAGUUGCUGCGAAAGGGCACUCUAUCGAGACUGCCGGUAUAACCGGAGGAAGGUGGGGAUGACGUCAAGUCCCCGCGGCCCUUAUGGGUAGGGCUUCACACGUCAUACAACAGUCGGGACAGAGGGUCGCCAACCCGCGAGGGGGAGCCAAUCCCAGAAACCCGAUCAAACUGGAUCGCAGUCUGCAACUCGACCGCGUGAAGUCGGAAUCGCUAAUCGCGGAUCAGUAUGUCGCGGUGAAUACGUUCCCGGGUCUUGUACACACCGCCCGUCACAAGACCAUGGGAGUGGGUUUUACCAGAAGUAGUUAGCCCAACCGGGCAGAGGGCGAUUACCACGGUAGGAUUCAUGACUGGGGUGAAGUCGUAACAAGGUAA